Molecule: ribosomal RNA, 305 nt
Filed under: uncultured bacterium
Lineage: Bacteria
Description: bacterial SSU rRNA
Rfam family: Bacterial small subunit ribosomal RNA
Source: RNAcentral
UUGGGCCUACGGGAGGCAGCAGUGGGGAAUAUUGCACAAUGGGGGAAACCCUGAUGCAGCGACGCCGCGUGAGUGAGGAAGUAUUUCGGUAUGUAAAGCUCUAUCAGCAGGGAAGAAAAUGACGGUACCUGACUAAGAAGCCCCGGCUAACUACGUGCCAGCAGCCGCGGUAAUACGUAGGUGGCAAGCGUUGUCCGGAUUUACUGGGUGUAAAGGGCGUGCAGCCGGGCUGACAAGUCAGAUGUGAAAUCCCGCGGCUCAACCGCGGAGCUGCAUUUGAAACUGUCAGUCUUGAGUACCGGAGG